CGUACACGUUGGUUUUGCGUUGUUAUGCUCCUAAUUGGAAACCAAUUAAUUAAUUACCCUCACCUCGCCGACUCGUCCUGUCCUGCAUUCUGACCCUCGCGAUCACCAGUCCCUUGUGAAGUACUUUCAGACCUGACACAAAUUUCCACGUUGUCACCAACAUGAAUUAUAGCAUUUUAACUGCCUGUUCCUUUUUUUCUCUGCUGUGUUUCACCUGGACUCUUGACUUUCCUCCUCGCGAGGUCGCUUUUUAAAGUACUGGCUGAUUUUGCCUGUCAUAACUGCAACGCUAAAAACGGAGUAAACUUUUUUUUUAAUAAACACGUCAUGCUUGGAUGCAAAAAAGACAAGCAGUAUUUACCUGUUUGUGUCCAGCCGCCAGGGAAAAUCAGGAUGCCGAUAGCACCAACUAGCGGGAAAAAAAACAUGAUUCGAUCCGUUUCUUCUUCGGUAGAUGCUUCAGGUCUUUCCGGUGCACUGCUGUUGAUAUAGCACCUCUAUAGUGGCGCAACGCUGCAACUGCAGUUAAAAUACGUUGCUGCUGCAGAGGGACAUCAUACGCUCAAUCAACACAGCUGGAGCUUUACGCUGUGUUGAGCGAAAUCAAUCGCUCUGGCUGGGGGCGGCACAAAAUUAGGUGGAGGCGGCCGCCACGCAAUUUUGAACGCAGGAAAAACCCUGCUCAUUGAAAUAAAAAAAAGAAGUUUUUUUAAAGAAAAGUGGCCAGCAUGGUGGGCAUAAGUUACUUUGGCCUGAACUUAACUACCAUACUUGAGUACCUAACAGGAUUUCAGACUUGAUGGCACAUAAAACGACACUGUAAAAGAAAUUGUCGUUAAAGCUGUAUUUUUUUGAGCAUACUAUUAUUUGUUUUUGACAUGCAAAAGCAAAAAUGACAGGAGUGAUGUGCAUUGUGGAUCAGGAAAGGAGGACAGGAAAAACUGAGGGUGGGCACUGUGGGUGCAGCCAUUUGUCAGUGUGUGGGCAACAGAACCAUUUUGUCUGAUUUUUGUGCCAUCUGUGCUUGUCUGACAAGUAUACAGUGUACUAUGCAAUUUUCUUUUCCCCCUGUUGUCCACAUUGAUUUCCCUCCUAUUGUGGUGGGCACUGGAUAACCAACUCUGCAUCACCCUCAGCUGCAGCAGCGCAGCAUGUAGCAACCAAACAGGGCUGAUGGGUUGAAGUUACACGGUUCAGAGAAAGCAGAUUUAACCGAGAAAAGAACAUUUUCUAAAUGUCACCAAAAAAAUGUUUUUUUUUCAUAUGAAAAAAAAGAAAACACCAAUUUAAUACAUUUUUCCUGAUAAAAGCAAACACAAACAUUCUCCAUGUUUUUUCAUUUUUCUGUGUUGGUGACCGCAAGAAAUCUGUUGGAUUUGAGGAUCUAAACUUUUCUCAUUAUAACACCAAAAUGAUACAGCAGACGCAUCUCAAACAAACUUCUUUUCUGGUUGAGAACUGAUGAAAGAUGCUUAACAAGGGCAGCUGUGGUCUGUAGAAAUAGAGCCUCAAUUUCCCCAACGAUUAUUGUGCUCAAAAUUUAAAAUGCAACUCUCACAUCUGCACCAUUGUUCAUAUCCAGGCCUGUUAAUUUGUCUGUGGUGCUUACUCUCUGUCUGUCUGUCUGUCUGUCUGUCUGUCUCUCUCUCUCUCUCUCUCUCUCUCUCUCACUCUCUCUCUCUCCAGGAUCAAUGUAGUAUGGUAUGUUCAGGGUUUACCCUACAUGCAAUUGAUUGUGGCGCACUGCCAUGGUUAAAUAAAAGCCGCCACACCUAAGAAAAUUAGUUUUUAUCUCACAUAGUUCUACCUCGGACUCAUAUGUAUCAGCAGUGUUUCCCCUACAUUCAUUCAGCAGCGGCGCACCGCUGAAUGAUUCUACUCGCGCUGUGUGAGCACAACAACACACACGUUAUUUUCGACUUGUCAUGAGUCAUCAUCGAGCGCAUCAAAUCCAGACCCUGUUCCACUAAUGUGAAGGGUAACGUUUAAGCUUAUACACGGUCUAUAUUGCGAGUAUCAGGGAUAACGUAACAUGGGGAAACAUUGAUGUCACAUGUAGACAAUCAAAUAUUCAGUGUUUCCCCUAGGUUUUUUUUUUUUUUAGCUGCGCCGCUGCUGUCUGUGAGGGGGGAGAUUUUUUGCUGUCACCCCCACUCUCUUGCUGCCGUGUAUAAGCUUGAAUGUUACCCUUCACAUUGAUGGAAGAGGGUCCGACAGGAUUUGACGUGCUUGUUAAUGACUCAAAACAAGUCGAAAAUAACGACGCAUUUUGUUGUGCUGACAUAGUGCGAGUACAAAUCAUUAGUGGCGCAUUGAUAUUAAUGAUCAUGUGAAAUUUCAGUAGCAGCGCAUGUACGUGGUGGUGCACCGCUGCUAAAUGAAUGUAGAGGAACCACUGAUUAUUAUUUUGCGCCCACACGUCUUGGUCACAGCAUAGAAUAGUCUUUUUUUGAGAGAUGGUCCUUUCUUCAAUUCCCUAAAUAUGUUACCAAUUUUAGGUGUUUGGUUUAAAAAACAUGCUUAUGGGUGCAGAUUAUUUGUGCUUUCCAAAUAAUCCAAAAUGAGACGUCAAAAGCUGUAUAAUUUUUGUUUGACCAGCAGAUUUCAGCAUCUGGCCUCAUCAGCUCAGUGCUCUGUGUAAGCAUGCUUAGGUGCCUUUUGCAUAAUGUCUCACUGAAUAAUGCUGCAUGACUGGCAGGCUGCACCGCCUCCAUGGAGCGGUGCUGAAUUCAGCAUUGUUGGCUCCCCUGGUGUUUUUAAAAAUGUCAAGUCCAUUAUGAAUUCAUUCAGGUUGCAAACCGCUUCCUCUGGUUACCUUAAUCUACUACAAACAGUGUCAGACCAAGAGACGAAGCUAACUUGUUUUUCAUGACAUCAAGGCAUGCAGAAUAUUUUGAUUAUCUGAAGUUAAAAGCAGUUACUGUGUUUCUGUGCAUAUUUAAAACACUACCAAUUUAUAAUACCUUGACCUGCGUUUUUUCUGAUUAAUAUUUUUGACUGCCCAGUGGACCUUUGCAUCACAGCAGAUUUGAUUACAACACCAACAGCAUUCGCUCCCUAGUAAGGAUUAGGGAUAGGUAUCAUUUGGAUUAAGACGAAUCAGAUCCUGAUUCCGGUUCUGCUUAUUGAUUCCAAUUCCUAAUGACUCCUUAUUUCAAUUCCAAACAGGUGAAACAUAGGAAGCUAAAUGUAUAUUUAAGUUACUUUAUUGAUUUCUGUUAUAAAAUUCGUGGACAUCCAGCUAAGUUCGGCAGUAUAAUCACAGACAACAACUUGGUACUACUUUGUAGCAGCACAUGCCCCCCGUAAUAACCCCCCAUAAAAACUGUUAUCAACGUCUGGUGGUUUGCUGAAUAUUUAUAUUUUAGCCUUUUGUGUUUAAUUGCCUUCUUGUGCUGAUAUCAGUAUAUUUUUAUCCUGCCGAGCUGCGAAGGGUUUGCCGUCAGAGUUGCUAAGCCCCCCCCCUGAUUUUUGGUUGAAAAUUUCAGGGUUUUAAUUGACCAAGAAUUUAUUUAGCACAUACAGUGUUCAAUAGUGUAUUUCUUUCCUUUGUUUACAUUUCUGUUACUACAUCACAUGCUGCACUGAUCUGAUUGGUUGUAGAUCUGUACAAUAUAAAAUAGAAGCACAUUUACUGCAUCUUAGCCAAAAUGGUUUUCGGUUUGGAGAACCUUAAAAGCACAUUUGAGUUUGUUUUUUUAAAACACUCAAAAGAUCAGUAAAUAAUUUUCUCCAUCCAUUCAACCAUGCUAGAGCCAAUCUCAGCCUGCAUAGUCUCUUUUUAUUUGGAAAUACUGUCAUUGCUCAAAGCAACUUAAUAUUACAAAGCGUAAAGAUUGGGCUGGUAGCAAGACUGUGGCAUUCAGAGAUUUUAUCCUUUACACCCACACAAAAACACCCCCUGGCUUGCAGAUAAAAUGAAAUGCUUUUAUUACAGUGGCUCAGCUAUUCUAAAAAACACAUGGACAUUGCUCUCAGUCGGAGCUUUCAGUGCAGCAGCAGCUCAGUGGAUUGUUGUAAUGAGCCUCCUCGUUACACUGAGGGGAUCCCACUGUGUUUGAAAAGUAAUUACCCCUGUACAACAAUAACUUUGUACUACGGGUCAUUAGAGCCAGUGUCCACUGAGAGAUUCGGGACACUUAUGUUAAUCAGCAGGCUAGAGGUGCCUUACAUUCCCUCUCUUUGCCGUGUUACUUACCUCUUUCAAAUCCUGAAAUAUGUGCCGACAACAGACCUGGCCUAAUAAAGAGAAUUGACCAAAAAAAAAGCCAAAAGGCAAACAAAAGAAACCUCAUGACCCAUAUUUUGUAUCCAGGGAAUAAUUAAAUUUUUGUGUUUGUUUGUUUCUUCACCUCUACCCACUAAUCUUAUGAAGAAGAGAGUCCCCAUGCAGCCCAUUUGUGCUUUAUAAAGUUGGAACCUUAGGCCAAAUAUCCAAUCAGCAAAUUAUAGUUGUAUGUUUAUCCAACUUUUCAGAGCUGCAGAUGCUUCUUUUGUUUAGAGUUACUCUUUAUUGAACUGUCUUGGCUACACUCAUUUUGGCCACUCAUAGGGUUUGCUGAGGGUGUCAUCACAGUGCAGAGUCAGGUGCAUGUGUGUGCGCUCGUUUCCCCCUGACUGGGAACAGGUUAUAUAUACUCUUGGGCUCCAGGUCCUUGUGCUGAAUCAUUAGCUCAUGUGCUGAGAUAGUGAGAAGGUCUCUCUCUCUUUGAUAUCUAUCUUGAGUGGCUCCAUGAGCACCAAAAGCCUUCCUACACGGUUCGUUCUCCCCUUUCAGAGACCUUAAAAGUGGUUUUGUUGAGUCAGUCCUUCCCGGCCUUUUGUCCUCUUUUCUAAGAUAUUUAGCAGCGCCUUGAGUUCCCUUUUGGUUUAGAGUUUUUUUAUGGCUCUCCCUGGUUGUGUUAGUUUUUUGUCAGUUGCUUGGCAGUGGUGGUUUGGUGCCCCUUUAUUUCCUCCUAAAGCUGUUUUUUUUUUUUUUUUUUUUUAAGGAAUGUCUUUGCGUUGGUUUGUGCCAUCUGUACAAGGUUUCUCAGCAUAUAAACCAGUAAUUUAAGAUAUUUUUCAUUCACCUUGUGUUUCCCUAUAAUUGGCCAGAGUGUAAAAUUGCCCACAGAAGCUUAAACCAAGACCUUGGCUAUGCACAAGGCGCCUAAUUUAUUUUUCUCUCCUUCCCAAUCCCCUUCAUUCCCAGCUUUAUUGCUCUGCACCUCAUCUCUUUUUCCAUCCUAAAGGAAUCAUAUUUUCUUAUCUGUUACCAACUUACUCCGUCUUUCUCAUUACUCCACUCUAAACUACACCAGGGUGUCCCAUUUUGCUCAUCCAUUUUUGGCUGGAUUAGCAGGAAGAAAUUGUACUUACAAACAUAUCGAAACAUGUCCUUCCUGUUUUGGUUAAAGGGACAAGUUUCCAGUGGAGAUGUUUUCAACAUCCAUAUUACGCGCCAGUCUUCCCCUUACCAGUCAGAAUCAAAUAAGUAAAACAGUAAAUUACGUCUGUCUUCUAACAUUGAGGUGGCAAACAUUGUACCAUAAAUGAUGGGUCAACUUAAAUAUCCAACUGACGUUAGCCCAUGUUUUUCUUUGACAAACAACAGUACAGUAUAUAAAACUGUGGGGCGACGACGGCAUACCUGUGGAGAUAAAGGGGCCGUAUUUGCCAUUACAAGCACCUAUAGGAGUGUUUACAUGAGUCAGUCUGUAGCGGCAUGUAUAAUUGUAGUGACUGAUGGGAUGUGGGCGGGGAAUUGAUACAGGGAGUUAGUGCGAGGCUAUUAUUCUGCUCCCCUUCUGCCUGUCCCUUCUGCGUUGCUCUCUCUUUGACUCUAUUUUUACAUCUUUUCCCCGUCUCUGGAGAUCUCUGCUUGCCGAUCCUUUCACUUUGUAUUAAUAAUAUUCACACCAUGUCAGUCAGUCGAGUUGGCUGUGUUUGAAAGCCAGCUGACAGGGCACAGGAAAAGCUAUUCUUUGACAAUAGUAACAAUCACAUCUUCCUCAUUUUUUUUUCAUUGACAGGUAACCUACAGAAUUUUAAAAAGUCAUUAAAGAAAUUAAGGCAGUAAUUGGUCUUAUACUUUACUGUUAAUACGCUGUGGGUGUCCAAAGAUCAAACUUUUAAGGCUAAUGGGAAAGAAGUCAGGCUGUGGCCAAGCACAGUUGAGGCACUUAACGUUAUAUGACCAUGUUAAGCUUUGAUCACUGAUUCGCAGACCAGCCAGGAACUAAAUUCUCUCUAAUCUGGACCUGAACCAGCAACUGAGGCUCAGCGUCUCCCAUCUUGCAGUCUUUUCUUUCCUUCACUGUGUCCAAUUUAGCAGCCUUUGUCAUAAAUUGUUCUACAUGAUACUGCUCAGCCAAUCAGAGCCUUAACUCAGAUUGGUGUUACAAGUAGGUUAGGGUGUCUGAGAAUAAUGAAGCUGCAUGAUGGAGCCAGCUAAGAGCUGCAUCACUAAGACAUGAGCGAGAGCACAAGUGAGGCAUUGUGUGCUCAGAAAAUCAAGCUUUCUGUCAUGAAUGGAACGAUUUUUGUCGGUCGUGUGUGGCGGCAUAUGCCUUGUGUGUUUUGAUACUGUAGGGAUUAUUCAGUGUCUCUGUAUAGUAUAGUGGGUUUUAGUCCAACAAUAAAGCCCUGUCAAGGUGAACAGCUACAGUGAGGCAAGUCACAUGGCGGGCUUAUUAUGAAUCAAAUGAAGAACAAGUAUUCUUGUAAUCACUGAAAUUACUGCUCCCUUUAUUUGAAGUAGUCCUGUGUGCUCAUUAAACGAUUUCCGUCAGAGGAAAUGUUUUUAAUUUGCGGUAAGGUAUGAUAAAGAAUCAAACCGCUGCAUACUAAAAGUAGGGGUGUCCCAAUAUGAUAUUGAUAUUGGAUUUUGGCAAAAAAACAAAUAUCAGAUUAUAUCGGCCUGCAUCUAAAAUCCUAUAUAUCAGCACUCCGCAGUACCUCUAUCUAGCAGCGCCCCGAUCCAGCAAGCUGAUCCCACAAAAUCACAACAACUGUGUAUACUAAGGUACUAACAAAGUAGCAAGGAGUAGGAGUGAUGUUGGCCUUGUGGUAUUUUUUUUUAAGUCUGAAAAAGACGUUGCAGCUGAGUGAAAAACAUGUCAUGCACAAUUUUGUGCCAAUAUCAGAGCAAUAUCGGUCAAUAUUGAAAGCUACAAUAUCAGUAUCGUAUCGGAAGUCAAAGAGUUGUAUCUGAACACCCAUAACUAAAAGUUAUUACAACAACCAUUCCUCAGACACAUCUAUUGAUUACUCAUUAUUGAUAUCAGUAUUGGCCCUGAAAAACAAAUUUUGGUCUAUACUUAAAAAAUAAAAAUAUCUGUUUUUAACUGGUUAUAAAACAGACUGAAUGUCAACCGUGAGACCUCUUUGUGACCUAUAAAAACAAACAAAACCAUUAGCAAAGAGACCGACUAUUUCUUUGUUGACAUGUUGAUAGCCUGUAAUGGCUUCAUGUCGGACAAGGUGAUUUGCUGCAUGGAGAAGAAAACCCAUUUUUCAUUCCUUUUACUGGAGCCAAUUAGAUAUUUAACUGUUAUAAAAAAAAGUAGGAGGAGAUGAUUUUGUCAGAAAACACAGUUUCCACAUGUACAGGAGAAGAUAGCAGAGAUUGGCGCAGGCGUCACUUUCAUCCACUGGGGGGCAUCAAGGUCAACAGAGAGCAAGGGUUCCUGACAGGAGCUUUAAAGUUCUGACUUUUUAAUUGUACCACAUUGUUUUAACUUAAAUGCUAGGUAGCUUUUACAGACGGUAUUACACCAAAUUUUUAUUCAAUUUUUUAUAUGAAAAGAGAAACCUUAAAAGACCAUUUACCUCCAUAGAAUAUCAAUGCACUUCUAAGGUUUCCAUUUAAAGUAACAGACAAUAGGUAAGUAAUGUUAGAGGGAAAUUUCACAUCAUUAUUGAGUCUCUUUAAACUUCAGUGAGUUAAACUCCUGAACUUUCAUGUUGUUAUAGGCUGUUUAUUUAUUCUAAUUAGUUUGCCUAUAACAAUGUCUUUCAAAUAGAGUUGCAGAAGUGUGAACAGCAGUGUUGAGAGGCUUUUUCAGAACAUAAUGGUGUGUUUGAGUUUGACAGUUCACUGGCUGUUACUGUGAAAACAGGAGGAACAAUACAACAGUGGCACCAUCUGUGUGGCGAUUGUUGCUAGACAAACACAUGAAGACAUAUGUCUGCACGCCCACUCAUGCAAAUGUCAUAAAUAGAAAAAAGAAAAAUUCAGUUAACUCUUUCAUCCACUUUUUCUUCUUCCUCAUACUUACAUUCACUCAUUUGUUUUAGAGAGUUAGCAGUGAACAACUCCAAAAUUCAACUUUAACUGAAUCAAAAAAGAAGCUGUAAAAAAAUGUCGGUUACAACCUUGACCUUUUUUUGUAGCUGCAUACCACAUAUUGACAAGCUGGCAGCAGUUUCCACAGUUAUGUGAAAGAACUCUGUACCCCCCCCCCCCCCCCCCAAAAAAAAAAACAGCACUUCUGGAUUUUUAUCCACCCAAAAGUUUCCAAACUUGAAGGAUGUGGCAGAUAAAGGACAUGCGCCACAUUCAAGGUUUGUAAAUUCCCAGAAGGUAAGGGAAGAGGAAUAUUCCUGGAAUCACAACAUCCUCCUCAUCUGAGAAAAAGAUUGCUCCAGGCUACACCCACUUUUACAAUCCUCUCAAAUAAACAGCCUUUUUUUGUUUGCCAAAUUCUUCAUAAACUAAGAAAAAAAUAUCAGUGACUUUAAAAUUACACCGUCACUUUGCGUCAGCUUCAAUCCAGCAACCUAGCGACCUUAAAGUAAUCUGUACAUUAUGAAAGAGAGAGAGAGAGAGAGAGAGAGAAAGAGCAGGGGAGCUAAAUUCUGUAUGGUGUAAGAGGGGGAGUGUUGUGCUCUGAGAAGAACAUGUUUCUUGGUGAAAAAUAAAAAAAACAUGAUGGUUUUGACUUGAGGGAUCACAGCUCAGGAUUUCCUCUGAAUUUAAAUCAGGAAGAUCAUUUCACACCAAACUCACAGAGCCACUGAACUUCACUACUGAGAUACUGAACAUAGUAAGAGACCAAUCAACACUCGGGGAACCACAGUAGACCGGCUCUGGACUUUGGGCUGUCUUACCAUUAAAAGACUUGUUCUUAUGAACUGGAAAGUUGGCAAACCGCGAUGUUUCACCAGAGAAUCAUGUUUAGGAGGAUUUUUAGAUCUCCUGAAUAUUAUCCAAUAUAUCUAAAAAUAUGUAAACAUAUCUCCUGCUAAAAGAUUUUGGCAAUAAUUUGGAUGACUACUGGGACAUUAUCUACAACAGCCUCAUGAAUCGAUUUGCAUAUCUUUCUUUACUCCUUUUUCUUUUUUUAUGAACAUUGAAUAACACUCUUGAGUGUGUUUCUGUCCUGUUUGUGUGUGGGAUUUGUUUGUAUGUUGAUUUAAGUUGUAAAUAUGCAUAAUAAAAACUCUUAAUAGCAAAAUAUUGAGCAUGACACUCACUCAAAAUUUCACUCAUGACUUAGAAGUAUUUACUAAUUUACACUUAUGAAUUGAAACAACAUCUGUUGAAUGGAGACUCUGGCUGUAAAUCAUAAGAAAACCUCACUGCAGACUUUUCAGUACACCUUUGCUGUCUUGCAGUGUUGAACCCGUGACCCUUAUUAAGAUGUCUUAAUUACAAUGGUUUCCUGGGAACCAGGGGACACAUCAGAGGUGUCCUUUGCAGCGAAUAGGGCUUGAACUUUAUCAUGUAGAGAACAGCUAGUUAACAGCGAAUCAUGUGGCAUUGCUCCAUACACGCUGGGGAAAAGGUCAGUGCACCUUGCAUCUCCAGCAGCGCUGACCACUGACAUCUCCUCUCCAGGCACAUGUAGUGCAGCUCUGCACAGCUGCUUGACAUCAGAACUUGUAGAUCAUUACUUCUCAACAGGAAGCCGUUGGUUUAAGGUUCAGUUUGGUGUCACAGUUUUAUUUCUACACUUGAAAAAAAAAACAUUUAGAAAGUUCUCCCCUCAUGUUUGCUUCAGACUCUGUCCUACUUGUAUAUUUCCCAGAACGUCAUCAGUCAAAUAUUUAUUGUGUUGUGGAUGUUAUGAUUGGCAAGUGUCUGACAGACCUGUGAUCAUCCAGACAUCCCUGCUGCCUGAACGACAACAAACUAUGAAAAUUUGAUAUGUUAUGGCGAUAACCUGAUUGUGUCAUGCAGACAUGUGGUUAAAAUAUCACCAUUGUGAUUGACAUUUCUGACAGAAGUGUGAAGAAAAACCGUCUCGGACCUUCUUUUUUUUACAUUUAAGUUACCAACUGAAGCAGAAGAGGUUUUUCUUUUCAGUCUCAGGUUUAAAGUCAGUUCACCUCAGGGUGGAUUAUUUGCAUAAAUACUUUUAUUUUGAGAAUAAUGGAAGCCAAAAGAGUCACACCUAUUUGUAUAGCUCAUUAAAAACAGCAUGAGCUGACCAAAGUGCUGCGCAGACAGAGAAAUAAAACAGUUUACAAAGACAUGAAAGGUUGCAGUUACAGCCAAUACUGUAAACAUAUUUAAGGGACACAUGCUGGCACAGGCAGUUUAGGUCUAAAAGCCUUUAAAACACUUGAAAACUGAGUAAAAAGCUUCUGCCUUCCUUUGAGGAGAGAUUAAAUGACUCAUCCUGAUAGAAAAGCUCCAGAAAGUAUCAGCAAAUAUUCAAUCUUUCAUUCGUCCAGGGUUCAGGAUUAUGUCUCCAUGUUGGCAGGGUUUGUGUUUGGGCCGCCUGCCAGCAGAAGAGCAAGUCGCAUCAGUCACUGUCAAGAUUUAAAUUACAGGAAAGAAUGGGUGAAAAAAAAAACCUCCAGUGGAGGCACGGAAAUGUGAAACUGCAGAGGGAUUCCCAAUCAGUUCAUCUCUCUCAGCUUUCACUAUGUUAGAUUUUCUUAGUAUUCAAUAUUAAAUUGUAAUUUUAAAUCUAAUGAACUUGUCAUCAGCGAAUCAGCCAGUGUUGUCUUAACCUCCUGAUCACAAACCUUUUUUCUUUCUAUUUUACCGAGUCAUGACCCUCUUAAAUUUGUCAGAAAAAGUUAAGUGUAUAUGUGCAGUCAUGCUCAGACAAUGACAGUGACUGAAAGUGUAAUUUUGACAUGAUAAAUCACAGCGGCUGGGGAACGUCUAGUGAUAUCUAUGUAUGUCAGACGGAAUGUGAAAAUGUCUACCCUACUGAAAAGAGACUUUUUAGAAAAAGUUCAACUAACUGAUACUUCCUGACUGAUGAGUCGAGAUGACGACUGUUGUGAAUUGGCGCUAUAGAAAUAAAAUUUGAUUGAUUGAUUGAUUACAAAAAAUAUUUUAAAAAAGCCAAAGUCCUAAAACCCUGGCCGAGGUACAGAAGGCAGUUCCCAGGCAGUGCUGUACUUUGUGUUUUGAUCCUCUUAUCUAACAGGCUUUUUGUCCUUAAGCCAAUAUCUACAGAUUUGCAAGGUAGAUUAAUUUUCUAUGCUGUUCAAGGUGACACAGUCAUUGUACUUGGACAGAAUUUGUGAUGACAAGUAGCACUUCACUAGCAUGAGUGUGUCUUUGCAUCAGUUUCUAAGUGGUGGCUUUCUCUUGGACUUGUUGCACUUGUCUCAUUUUAUUUCCUCGUGCUAAUCUAUUAGUGAGAGGAUCUAAAAAAAACCCUGCUCUUAUUCAUUCAUGUUGAUCUCAUGGUUGACCUUUCCAAGGAUGCUGGAAUCCAAGCUUAAGUGCUCCUUUACACACGUUGUUAUCAAUGUCUGUUUUUGUUAGGUGCACAGAGAUAAAUAUAGUACAAAUUUAAUGAGUAAUAAAGUUGAUGUGACCCUGGAUAUGUUGUAUAAAGGAGUGUGAACGCCACAGCGAGUGUACCUGAUCCUCUGUGCGCACAAAGACAGAUCUUGUUCGUUGAUAUCAUUGUUCGGCAUUAUGAAGUGAAAGAGAGCUCACCUUUCAGCUGACCUGGUCUAACAUUGUGUUCCCACUUUGUCCUGUUUUGCCCUUGUGUACGAAAGGGUUUUAGCACCAUCCACUUCAUCCCUGUGUUGUUUCCCCUCUCUGAGCACCUGUUGGGGUCUGAGCAGGACGUGGGACUGGCCUACUUAUCAGAGUGGCCAUGUCGACAGUUAAAUCUGUAAAAGGCCUUUUAGAUACAGACUGGUGAAGUAUGCAUGCAUGUUUUAGCCUGAAUACGCUGAACAUUGUGCUGAAUAUGCAGUGUUCUAUCCUGGUGUUUUCCAAUUUACAUCAUAUUGACCUUUCUGUACGUCUGUGUCUGGAUUUGUACAGCUGGUAUGAUGAAAAUGAAAAUGAAAAUACAUCCCCGUACAUAUUUCACACAUGAUACAAUCUCAAAGCCUGUGGGAUGUCCUUUUACAAGGUUGCAGUCUUCAAUUUAUCUCCACAGUGACAUCUGUACAAGUGUUGCCUAUUACUUGUUUGUAGACAUCGGCUCUUUAAAGAUGCCGCCUUUGAAGGACCCAGCUUGCAAAGUAGGCAGUUUACUAGGGACUCAGCUUCCAAAAGACAGAGUUUACAACAAAUGAAGCUCAUGAGGAGUCCAGAUUACCCUAGCCUAAACUUACAAAGGAUGCUUUUUAGGAAGGAUGAAGUUUUUCAAAGGAAGGAUAAAGUUUGCUUACAAAGGACAAAGCGAAGACAGAAUGAAGUUUACAAAGAAUGAAGCUUGCUAAGUAUGAAGCUUUCUUAUGAAGGAUGAGACUCAUGGAGGACAUGGCUCCCAAAAGACUAAGCUUUAAAAGUGUUAAAAGUUGAAGUAAUGAGAUGGUCCAGUCUAUGGAGGAUAGUCUUGGGACACAAAGCAGAAAUGGAAAUGAUAUAUUAGUAUGUCUGUUGAGGCAAACCAAGAACCAUUCAUUUAUUCAGUAAACUAAAGGGCUUUACAGAGUAGAAAACAAUGCAGUAACAAUCAUAUAAAUAAAAAUCAUGACACUAUGCAAACAUAAACAUUCAAAUAUGAAAGAAAAAGAUACCAAAAUGUUCAAUCGAGAUAGAAAAGAAAGGAAAAGAAAAUAUCGAGAAUAUGUUCUUGGAGAUGAAGUGGAUCAUCUUUCAUGAAUAGCUUAGCCUUGUGUCUGCAGCACCAUAGAAGGCUUGUGCACAUUUUUAUUGAUUUCACAGCCUUUAGGGAGCUGAGAAAGAGAGGUGGGGGGUUGAGUUUUCAGUCUGGGUCUACAGUCUGAAUGCUGUGCCAUUCAAAUGUCAGUUCAAACCUAUAAUCAGCUUUUACAGUAAAACUCUGUUCUCAAUGAAGCAGAGCUACAAAGUGAAGCCCUGGCAGAGUUACAUGGCAGUUUUCCAGGUAAUCAUUCCAGGGAGACAAUAUAUUGAAGCAUGAGUUUGAGUGUCCUUGAGAUUCUGAGGUUCCCCCGCUGUCUGCCCCGUCAUCAUGCACAAGACAGUACGUCUCUCACUGCGGGAUAUGUAAUCAAAUGGCUUGUUGCGUGCUGUGCACCUGACUUGAUGUAGCUUAUUGAUGACACAGACUCAGCUUGCUCUUUUUUUUUUUUACAGGGCCUCAUCUUUGAGCACUUUUGCACUUGAAAAAUUUCAGAUACAAAUGGUGAUGACUUAUGCUGUGUUCCAGUUACCUCAGAAAUCAGAUGUCAGAGCUGGGAACGACGUUACACCCAAGUUGACGGUGUUCCAGUAAACAAGUCGGAAAACAAAGAUGGACACCUGUUGUCAGCUGUUGUUAGCCAUUGUCAGCUGUUGUUAGUGGUUGUCAGCUGUUGUCAGCUGUUGUCAGCUGUUGUCAGUUGUUGUUAGUGGUUAACGACAGUUGUAGACAUCCCAUAAUACAGUAUUUCACUCUUACAAACAUCAUAGCACUGUGUUCACAAUUAGACGUUGGGCAGUACAACAUAUACCACUUAUUUAAUUUCACAAAAAUAAAACAGAAGUGUUAAUAAAUAAUACAUAAUGAGAGCUUUCAUUGUUACUCUUUAUUUGAUGAACUGCGCUGCCAUCUUGGAAUAUGACAUUGUCGUCAAGUCAGGGUUGGUGAGGAUCAUCCGACUUUCCGAGUCAGAAAUCUGACUGUUGGGGGGUGUUCCAGAUGAACUUCUGGAAUCCUGACUUCUGAGUACAAUUGGAAUGCACCAUUAAUCAUACACAUGGUUAUUUUUAUAAUGAGGAAAAAAGGGGGAUUUUAAUCUGCAAAGUGUAUGUAACAAACUAGGACGAGGAUCUGUAAUGUUGCUGUAGAAAAACUAGAAAAAAUGUUCCCACAGAAAUAGCUGGACAUCUUGAGGAGCCCGUAGGGCAUGAAAAACAUACACAUACCACAUGGUAAAAGUUCACCCUAACAACCUCUGCCAAUCUGUCACUUGACUUAAAGUGACCAUGUAUAUGUCAUUUUUAUAUAGCUAUCUAUUCCUCUACCUUCACUUAGACUGAAAUCAUGUGCUGUGUUAUUUUUCCAAAUGCUCUAUGUGUCAUUUAGUUUGUAGACGUAUACCCAAUAAAGUGAGCACUUGGUAACAAAAUAAUAUAUGCACAUGUUAAGUGUCUUCCUGAUGUGUUACUGACUGGAAAAUUGGAGGAUAUUAUUGGCAUGAAGAGGCGACAAAUCAGCAACACCGUGUACUUAUGUACUUAUUAGAAAACUGCACCGUCUGUGUGGAGAGCAGCAAUCGUCCAUUAGUGAGAAAUAUACUGAGUCUAAAUUUGGAAGCUGGGGCACUCCUCUGGAAGGCAAAACAGGACGAAUGAGGACCAGAGGAUCCCCAGGGUAAGAAAACAUCUGCCAGCCAAAACAAAACAAGGGGGUGGUGAAAAUGUGCAUACGUGUAAGUGUGUGUACGUGUAAAUGUGUGUAUGUGUACAGUAUUUAGGCCCGCAGGUCAGACACUGAGCCUCAACUGCUGCUCACUCAUUACUAUCAUGUUUGGAUGAAACGCUCUCUGUGCAUUAGUGAGUUUUAUCUCCUCCUGUCCUGCAGAGGUACCACUCUUCAUCUUCUUGGAACCCGCAUCUUGGGACAAGUCCCGCCCCCGAGCUUAAAUGUUCAGAGUCUCUACAUGUAGAGAUUGAAAUUGGAUUGGCAGGGGAGUUUUUGUACAAGUUACUGAUGAAUUCAGCCAUGUUUUUUUUUUUUUGUACUUUUGACUGAAAAAUAAGAGAAGAAAGGAGAAAAAUAAAACACAGGGUCAAGCCUAGGACUGGGCGAUUAUAUGAUUGUGAUUAAUGAUCGUGAUAAAAAGUGACAACAGCAAAUCGGAGUCAAGCUUUUCCUGCUCAGUUCUGUAAGUUGUCGAAGACGUAAACAGGAGAAGUAAACAGAAAGACCGAACGUGGAGCUAAACGAGAGCUUAGGCCGGCACAAUAGAUGUCAGCCGUGACUUUGAGCCACCCUCGAAAGAUGACAUUGUUGAGAAGAAAAGUUAUUCAACGUCGGUUGUGUGGCGGUGGUUCAGGUAUCUCCAAAGUGACAUCGAGCAAUUAGGCCGAUGUGUAAGGUAUGUUGGCGGUCGGUGUGCUCAAAAACCGGCAACACAACAAAUCUGUUUUAUCAUUUAAAGAAGUACUUGCUGAGAAGUACUUUACAUUUUAACGGGUCUUCAUUAUCCCUGAGGGGGCGAUUUGUUUACUUGUGGUCUUGCAUACCUGCAAAAACACUCAGUGCUGUAAACUAGUUCACUGUAUUAUUUAGUAUUUAUCUACAUUUGUUGUACCAUUGAGUUAAAAUGUUUUUUUUCAUUAUUGUUUUCUAAGUUUAUCUUAUUCAAUUUGCUUUGUUAUUUACUUUGUAUGUUAAUAAAAUGAUAAAAUUAACCUCUAGUUUCUUUAGUUUUAAGUACAGAUGCUUUCAAAAUGACCGUUUAAGAAAAAAUCGUGAUAACACUCGAGUUAGGAUGAUAUGACAAAACAUAUUGCAAUCCUUUAUUUGUUUAAUCGCCCAGUCCUAGUCAAACUUUUUGAAGAGGAGACAUAAGGAAAAAGUUUAACUAAGUAUAAACAAACAAAGAAACAUAAGGAGGAAUAUAAGUGCCAGUGAGAGGAGUUUUUUAUCUUAUUCUCUUUGAUGCUGACUAAAAUAUUGUCCAAAAGUGCUGGUUUCGCCGAAAAAUAUUGCAGAGCCUGAUAUUUUAUUUUCUGUUUUGUGUACACUUGAAAUGGUGAGAUGAUUAAAAACCCGAGGAGAGCAGCAAACACACACACAGACAAACAGCAGAGCCUGUGAAUGUCCUGGUCCUCUCAUGUUACCCACUUCGCUGAUUCUGCUACACUCCCUGAAAAGAGUUCAUUAGUUUUUACUCUUGAACAGUCACUGAUAUGAUGCACAGAAUUACCCUCCGUGAUGAACGUUUUGUUGUUAAUAACCGCUCUCCAACAUCUUUUCUCUCUACGGAGAUUAUAAAAAUAAUGAGAAACAUAAGUCACUGCUGUCAAGAGUAUUUUUAGCCUGAAGUCACAAGCAAAUAUGAAAUAACAUCUUAAGCGUUUUGCAGUAUGUAAUGAAUAUUAUUAACAAGCAAAAUGAGGCUCUAAUUUUACCAAAUGAAGGGAAAUAUACAAGAGAAGAUGAGAAGAGAAAUGCACAUGAAUUCUACAAGUGUUUUUUUUUUUUUUUUAACUUUAAUCCAGUGCCCUGUAUCAGAGCAAAAAUUACCAUUAAAGCAACAUCAAACAGAUUUUUUUGACCAACAUUUUAAAUUGCCUAUUUGCAGUGAUAUCCAUCUUACAUUUGAGGUUUCAGACAUUGAGUUAGCGGUGGAUUAUUUUGCCAACACCUUAAACAAGCAUGAGCCAUCAGAACGGAAAAAAAACAUCAAAACCUUGGAUUGCAACUGAUCUAUCAGACUUAUUUAAGGAGAAAAACACAACUUGGUCUCCCAGUGGACACCUGGACUUUGGUCUAGACCUGAUCUUUUUAGAAAGUACUUUAAUAACACCUGAUGACAUUGAGAAAGUUCCUGCAGCCUUAAACAAACAUUAUGUCACUGCUGGUCACCUUUUUGAGAGUCAAGCCUAGAUUUUUAUAACUUGGGGCAUUUUUUCUUUUUUUGUAAUUUUCUCACUCCUCAUGGUUGUUUACAUUAAUCAGUCUUUAUUUGGUCAAGAAUAUUCUAUUUGUAAUAGUUUCUUGGAAAUCUACUACAAAUAAAAAUUCAGACCAUUGCAAUUUAACACUCUCUAUUUCAACGACAUCAACGCAGAUAACCAGAAAUUUUAACUUCUUUCCAUCCUGUAACUUUCCCAAAAAGUUUAGAGGAUGACUCAUAUUAUUCUGCAUCUCCACAUAAGAAAGGUAACACAGACAUUCUCAACAAUUUCAAAACUCCUAACUUAUUGAAAGUCCUAUAAUUAUUAAUCAAGGAUCAAAUAAAGGAAUUUCUAUCAAGCUAAUGUUGAGUCUGGUGUUAGAAUAAGGCACAGUAGUGUUACUGCAAUACCAAGACCGCAAGUAUUAUUACACUUUUUGUUUAUUCAUCAGAAGUGUUUGAUACUGUGGUAGGGUUGCAGCUCUCGAAUAUUUUUAUUAAUUGAGUAUUCUACCAAAUAUUCCAUUGAUUAAUCGAGUAAUCGUAUAAAACAUAAUAUUUUUAGUGAAAGUGCAAUUAUCGCGGAAAGAGCGUGUGCGUUAGAGGAUUGCAAUGCUCAUAAGAAAGGUAGUUAUGACAUCAACUUUCAUCAUGCCACCAAAGACAUUAGUGUCCGAGAGCUGAAUAGCUCCUAUGUUACCUGCUUCUGCUACUACACUGGCAAUGUUAGGCAAGCUAGCGUGAAGAGGAGUGUGCAGAGGCGCACCGUCUCCGCCAGCGAAUUGCUAAUGAGCGACUGGAGCUCUGCAGAAGAAAAGCCCCUCUCAUUAUUUAUUUUUUCCGUUCCGCAAAACCAAAACUGUGCUUAUUCCUCCUUCUACCGUGGUGACAUAAGCGAGUUGUGUCACCUUGAAAAUAAUCUGUGCGAAACGGUGACGAUUUGAGAAAAUUCCUUGAUCAUUCCUCAGCCCUAGACUGUGGAUCAUAUUUGGAUUUGGAUUUGGAGACAAUGACUUGUUAAGCUACUCUUCUCUUUUUUUACAGUCUUAAAAGGUGUUCCACAAGGUUCAGUUAUAGGCCCAGUUUUAUUUACUAUUCAUACAAAACAUUAUCGUAUUGGUUCUUUGCCCAAUCGACACACUAUUAAUGUCAACCACAUUGUUGAGCCAAAGCUGUACAACUUGCCGUCAAAAAUUAACAUUUAACAACCCACAAGAUAACUUGUUCUCAGUGCUGACAAAACAAAAGUCAUGCUGCUCUUUAGAGCCGAAGCAACAGAACAAAAGACAUUCAUAUUAAAACCAGGAACUAUGUCAGGAGACGGAUUAAUCUAACAUUAAUGGCUCUGUAAGACAACAUUCAACUUAAAUCCCAGUUUAGAGUGUUUGUUCUUAAAUACGCUAUGUACUCUGUUUACAGAUCGGGUUACUGUGAAAUGAAAGUUCAAUAUUUUCCAGUGCUGCAUGUCUUUUAAAAAGGAGAUGUCACUGACUGACUAUGAAUGUGUAACCCUGUAAAGAUCUCGCCUCUUUAUCAAUAUGAAUCCUUUUUUACAGGAGACACAAAAUAGAUAGAGCAAUAGAAAGAGUGGAUACAGUAAUAACGGUCCUCCAGGUCUGUGCUUUGUUGCUUGUACAAGCUUGUUCUUAACAAGCUGACAAGCACCUUGGGUCCUCCAUUGAUCAAACAAACCAGACCCCUGCUCCACUGUUCACUUGGCAGUUCGCAGCUCAAAACAGACAGUUUAUUAUCUCAUUGUGAGGUUUUCUUUAUUUCUUACUGCAUCAUUACAUUUAUCCUUUGUCUACUUCACUGUCUGUUUCCAAUAUUUGUACCUGUUUGCUUUUUAGCUGAUUGGCUGGAAACAAAUAGAUGGUUUUCAAAGUAAAGGUCAUGGUUCUGAAUGAAAAGCUUUUAAAAUGAUGAUGAUGAGCCCGGGAAACCUAAAUGGGAGUAAGGUUGAGUAGAACUGCUGGGAUAUUACACUUUUUUAUUCAAGCCAAAAGAAUAAGUAAAUGCUGUAACGUUAAAGGUCUGACAAAGGCUGUCCAGAGUUUGUAAUAGUUUUUGUUUUUUUCUUUAUCCAUAAAAGCUUUUUCUGAAAAAGUAGUUUUAUUGUGUUUGAGAUGGUUGCAAUUUUUUUUUCUCAAACCAACUUUUUCAGAACAUUUUUUUUAAACUCCAGUAAAGGUCAUGCUAAAUAAUUUAUGGACAAGGUGUAGAUCUAAAUUCCAGUUGGGUUUUUGCCCCCCUGCGAUGCUCUUUUUCACCCACUGAGCAUUUUUUGGUCCAAAAGAGGUCCAAUAGACAUCUAAAUGUAUUCUACAUAACUGGUCUAAAAUCAGGCUACCACAGGUCUAAAAAUGAAAGUUUUUUAGACGUCUAAAUUUAGACCAAGUUCAGACUAAAUCUAAAUAUGUGCUAUAUCUACACUACAAUGUAUAUUGCUCAACAGCUAUCAUAAUUGUUUUUGUUAAGUGCUUGGAGAUCAGUUAUGCAACUCACAGUUGCUUUUUAAAAGAAAUAGUUAUCGAAUAAUUGGCUAAGGUGCAAUGUCUAAAUUCUGUCUAAAAAUAUACAGAAUCUGGACGGUUUAAAUUAGGUUUUAAAGAGAACUAGACGUUUAAUAACCAUCUAUUGCUCAGUGGGAAUUGAUGGUUAUUGAUGUUUUACGCACCAAAGCAAUCCCUCUAAACACCAGAAACUACAGUAACUCUCCAAAGCGACGGGAACAUGCUUACAGAAUGCAUGUGGCCAUAUUCGAUACAGUUGUGUGAUCCAUGGCUUGUAAAUUGGAUACUGUUUAGUCAGUAGAACUACAUGUGGGCACGCCGGUUGGUGCCAUUUAUGGUUCGUCGGGAUGGGCUCUAUGGAGCUCCCUCAAGGUUGAAAAGAAAAUAAAGAAAAACUCCGUACAUGCAGAGUAGGUAAGUAUUUAAAACCAAGUUGACGACUUUGGGUGAAUUAUUAUGUGGCUCAAAAAAAGAAAAAGAAAAAUUGUGCUCGUAAACUUCAACAGUAGUCAUAACAUCUCACCACAACCUCUUUUCACUCGGCCAAACAACAGUUCACUUCCACUCUUCUAAACUAUCCUAUCCAAUACUGAUUACACAUAUCAUUGCAGGAGUCGUCUCGCAUGCUCAUUUAUUCAAAUCCCUCUGAUGCCUUCAGUUGAUCCACCAGCAAGUCUUCCAUUGUCGCAUUUCUUUUAUGGCUGCUUGUUUAACAAAUCCUAUUUACUUUCUAGAGUGGCGUUUAAGCUGUAUGAGUAGAUAAUUACUUCCUCUGCAUACUUAACUUUUUAGAGCUUGUCUGUCUUUAUAGUUCUUUCUCAGACUCAGAGAUGACUCCUCUCUCCUAAUGAUGGAGUACUCCUUAUGUCUCCUCUUACUUCCUCAUUUCUCUUUGUUCCUCUCCACAUCUACUACUACUAUUGUUGACCUACUCUUUUCUAUUGUUAGGGAAUUCACAGUUUUUUGCAGCAUUUAGUCUGCUGUUCAAACUCUGACCUGUAAACAUAUCCUCAAUCAAAUACAUGAAUCAGUCCUAACGAAAGACACUGAAAGAAGAAAACUGACGACUUCUUUCACCUCUCACUCGAGGUCUGCCUGGAGGCUCCAAACAUCCAACAAAUACUGCACUUGGAACGAUUUCUGUCAGAGCGGUGAAGCGCCUCGGGUGUAAUUUGAGAAAGACUGCCAUUAUCUUGACAGUUUUAUGCAAACGGGUAAAAGCAGGUGUUUAAGUUAGUCACAGAAAAGGAACCCUGAUUGGUUUAAUGACGGAUCAGCGGUAUGAACCAGCAGUGUUGAUGUCAAACUCAUUAAGCACUCUUUGUCAAGCAUGUUUUUGUCACUUCUACAUAAUUUUUUCAAAUCGUAGAGUUUUGAAUAGUCUAAACCAAGUUGGAUUAUAGUGUACCCUUGACAUGUUAAUUUGUCACUCUUAAGGGACUGUCGGUUUUGAAUCCAAAGUUUGAACUGUAAUGAGCCUGUCAGACUCACAAUAAUAAAGUAUACCAGCACUUUUGGCCACCUGAAGUAGCUUACCGUGAUCCAGCGGAGAGAGCUGGCAUUGUAACCUGGCGGACAUGGUCAAGCAAAGCAGCACUGAGCCAACACUUGCGACACCAAAACCUCUGAGAGGUGCAGUGUGAAGGUAUUUUGGGUUAAAUUUGCAAUCAGGAAUUCUUUAUAUGUAUUUCGUAUCUGUCCCCACGAGGGAUGGGCAUGAUUAAUCUAUGAUCGAUUAAUUAAUCGUUGUGAAUUACGUCAAUUGUGCAAACUUUUGAUCGAUCAAACGUUUUUAAAAAAAGGCUGACAUCGUGCGUCCAUCCUAAAGCUACUUUCCAGGAAAGAUCAACAUCUGCUGAUCGGCAGGGAUACUAGGGCUGCAGCUAUCGAUUAUUUUAGUAAUCGAGUACUCUAUCGAUUAAUCUGUCGAUUAAUCGAGUAAUCGGAUAAGAAAUGUUUUGCUCUCACUGUAAUACUUUGCAUUGAAUCACGUUUGCCUCAGAGCGGACUUAAUGCAUGGACCGGGUGUUUUCUUUUAAGGUGCUGCAGCAUUGACGACGUGCUGUUGUGAAAUGCCAACUCCGCCUUACAGUAAACGCACUGCACGGCGUUUUCUUUCCUUUUCAGUGUGUAAUGGUCCCACACUUUAGACACUUUCUGCCGUUUCCUCUGCGUGUCAUCUCUUUCUUCCUCUCUCUGUCUGUCCUCGUUUCCCUCCAUGAUUGAACCAAACGCGCCAUAGACAUAAUAAAAGAUAGACCCCGCAUCGGCCGCUACCACGAAUGGGCGCUGUCGAGAAAUGCGGCCGCCAUCUUGGUCCGGUCAUCCGCCUCACUCUGCACCGCUGUUUAACCGGCGGAAUGAAGUCUGAGCGCAUU
This is a non-coding RNA of Xyrichtys novacula (pearly razorfish), 21838 nucleotides long. The record is from the annotation of a GenBank genome assembly. NCBI's taxonomy places the organism in Eukaryota, Metazoa, Chordata, Actinopteri, Labriformes, Labridae.